This is a long non-coding RNA of Bubalus bubalis (water buffalo), 998 nucleotides long. RefSeq lists it as uncharacterized. Lineage: Eukaryota; Metazoa; Chordata; Mammalia; Artiodactyla; Bovidae. The record is from RefSeq and is a predicted model, not a curated record. The transcript is spliced from 5 exons.
CUAAGGGGCCUGACCCCCCAACCUCCAACAGGCCAAAAGAACCCCCUCUCCCAGGGAGUCUCAGACACCCAGUAACUUCACAUCGUCCUCGGAUUUGCCCACCACCAAGUCAACCCAACUUGUAGUUCAAGCAUCACACCCAGAGCCUAUGAAAAAAAGACAGCAAGACGGCCCAGCCUGUGAGGGCGCCAUGGGGUGGCCCAGAAACUGGAGUCCCUGGGAGGUGAUUAUUAAGAGGCAAGACAAGGAGAUGAAUUAUGGAGAAAGGAGGCUGCAGCUUCUUCAUAAAAAUCCCGGUGCCUGGCAAUUACGAGGAGGAAACCACAGAGCAGCCUCUCAUCUUGCCGGGCAUCCUGCUUGCCAGGCCCCCGGGCACCGGGCACCGAGGUCAGACCCGCCCGUUUCUUCGGUUUCUCUGAGGACGUUCUGGGGGUUCGGCUCCGGGCCUGCCCCGAGCAGCGGUGAUGCUGGGAUGGUCGGUCGUCGUUUCCGCAGUGAUGGAAGCCCACCAGGCUCCCCUGUCCCUGAGAUUCUCCAGGCAAGAACGCUGGAGUGGGUUGCCAUUUCCUUCUCCAACACAAGCUGUGCAGCAUGGCCAAAAAAAAAAAAAGAAAAGAGAUCGAGAGACAAAGGUGGAAAGGCACUCAGAACUCCGUGACAUCUAAGGUGAAGAUGGGAACAAAGACUUCCGUCUGGGAGGCCAGCAUGGCAGCUGCGUGCACGACCAGCAGGACAGCCGUGGCCUUGCGGGACAGCAUUCUGGAGCUGGACAAUGACAGGGAGCCUCUGUCACCCAGUGUGGGGCUCAGGGACAAACCACUGCAUUGGAGGCAGGCGCCCUCAGCUCUGGUCCACGCCCCACCUGGGGCUGUGUGAUCUUGGGCAAGCUGCUUACCCUCUCUGGAUUUGGGCCUGGUGUGGGGCUGUACCAGAGGAGCUCAGAGCCCCUUCUCUGCCCCAAGCCCCUGAGAGAGGCGGCCCUGCCCCUUGCCCACACC